This 1543-nucleotide ribosomal RNA is filed under the name Halomonas beimenensis. Its description in RNAcentral is "bacterial SSU rRNA". It matches the Rfam family "Bacterial small subunit ribosomal RNA". The record is from RNAcentral. Lineage: Bacteria; Pseudomonadati; Pseudomonadota; Gammaproteobacteria; Oceanospirillales; Halomonadaceae.
UUUAAACUGAAGAGUUUGAUCAUGGCUCAGAUUGAACGCUGGCGGCAGGCCUAACACAUGCAAGUCGAGCGGAAACGAUGGAAGCUUGCUUCCAGGCGUCGAGCGGCGGACGGGUGAGUAAUGCAUAGGAAUCUGCCCGGUAGUGGGGGAUAACCUGGGGAAACCCAGGCUAAUACCGCAUACGUCCUACGGGAGAAAGCAGGGGAUCUUCGGACCUUGCGCUAUCGGAUGAGCCUAUGUCGGAUUAGCUAGUUGGUGAGGUAAUGGCUCACCAAGGCCGCGAUCCGUAGCUGGUCUGAGAGGAUGAUCAGCCACAUCGGGACUGAGACACGGCCCGAACUCCUACGGGAGGCAGCAGUGGGGAAUAUUGGACAAUGGGCGAAAGCCUGAUCCAGCCAUGCCGCGUGUGUGAAGAAGGCCCUCGGGUUGUAAAGCACUUUCAGUGAGGAAGAACGCUUGCGGGUUAAUACCCCGCAGGAAGGACAUCACUCACAGAAGAAGCACCGGCUAACUCCGUGCCAGCAGCCGCGGUAAUACGGAGGGUGCGAGCGUUAAUCGGAAUUACUGGGCGUAAAGCGCGCGUAGGCGGCUUGAUAAGCCGGUUGUGAAAGCCCCGGGCUCAACCUGGGAACGGCAUCCGGAACUGUCAGGCUAGAGUGCAGGAGAGGAAGGUAGAAUUCCCGGUGUAGCGGUGAAAUGCGUAGAGAUCGGGAGGAAUACCAGUGGCGAAGGCGGCCUUCUGGACUGACACUGACGCUGAGGUGCGAAAGCGUGGGUAGCAAACAGGAUUAGAUACCCUGGUAGUCCACGCCGUAAACGAUGUCGACUAGCCGUUGGGGUCCUCGAGACCUUUGUGGCGCAGUUAACGCGAUAAGUCGACCGCCUGGGGAGUACGGCCGCAAGGUUAAAACUCAAAUGAAUUGACGGGGGCCCGCACAAGCGGUGGAGCAUGUGGUUUAAUUCGAUGCAACGCGAAGAACCUUACCUACCCUUGACAUCGAGCGAACUUUCCAGAGAUGGAUUGGUGCCUUCGGGAACGCUCAGACAGGUGCUGCAUGGCUGUCGUCAGCUCGUGUUGUGAAAUGUUGGGUUAAGUCCCGUAACGAGCGCAACCCUUGUCCCUAUUUGCCAGCGAUUCGGUCGGGAACUCUAGGGAGACUGCCGGUGACAAACCGGAGGAAGGUGGGGACGACGUCAAGUCAUCAUGGCCCUUACGGGUAGGGCUACACACGUGCUACAAUGGCCGGUACAGAGGGUUGCAAUGCCGCGAGGUGGAGCUAAUCCCAAAAAGCCGGUCUCAGUCCGGAUCGGAGUCUGCAACUCGACUCCGUGAAGUCGGAAUCGCUAGUAAUCGUGAAUCAGAAUGUCACGGUGAAUACGUUCCCGGGCCUUGUACACACCGCCCGUCACACCAUGGGAGUGGACUGCACCAGAAGUGGUUAGCCUAACUUCGGAGGGCGAUCACCACGGUGUGGUUCAUGACUGGGGUGAAGUCGUAACAAGGUAGCCGUAGGGGAACCUGCGGCUGGAUCACCUCCUUAAU